This 558-nucleotide ribosomal RNA is filed under the name Fusarium oxysporum f. sp. ciceris. Its description in RNAcentral is "eukaryotic LSU rRNA". The stretch from base 167 to 320 matches the Rfam family "5.8S ribosomal RNA". Lineage: Eukaryota; Fungi; Ascomycota; Sordariomycetes; Hypocreales; Nectriaceae. The record is from RNAcentral.
GCGGAGGGAUCAUUACCGAGUUAUACAACUCAUCAACCCUGUGAACAUACCUAUAACGUUGCCUCGGCGGGAACAGACGGCCCCGUAACACGGGCCGCCCCCGCCAGAGGACCCCCUAACUCUGUUUCUAUAAUGUUUCUUCUGAGUAAACAAGCAAAUAAAUUAAAACUUUCAACAACGGAUCUCUUGGCUCUGGCAUCGAUGAAGAACGCAGCGAAAUGCGAUAAGUAAUGUGAAUUGCAGAAUUCAGUGAAUCAUCGAAUCUUUGAACGCACAUUGCGCCCGCCAGUAUUCUGGCGGGCAUGCCUGUUCGAGCGUCAUUACAACCCUCAGGCCCCCGGGCCUGGCGUUGGGGAUCGGCGGAAGCCCCCUGCGGGCACAACGCCGUCCCCCAAAUACAGUGGCGGUCCCGCCGCAGCUUCCAUUGCGUAGUAGCUAACACCUCGCAACUGGAGAGCGGCGCGGCCACGCCGUAAAACACCCAACUUCUGAAUGUUGACCUCGAAUCAAUGGUUAGAAUACCCGCUGAACUUAAGCAUAUCAAUAGGCGGGAGGAAA